GUUCUUUCCAUCUUCUGUUCUGCCAUGGUGGUGCCUUGGCUUUGUGGUCAGGUUGGUUCCCCACAUAGAUGCCAAAAGACUGCACAGGUACUAAUUAUCAUGUCUAGUUGCGACAACAUCCAGCAGGACAAAUGGAUUGUGUCUUCUUUGUGACGUGAUAUUUGAGACCUGACCAUUUAAAGAGAAGUCUUGGGCUGUAUAUUAACGCUUUGAGUCUAUCUGACUGAGGACUUCAGUUUCCCAUCAUUCAGGGGGCAAAUGAAGCACUGGAAGUGGAAAACAUUGCUCGCCUCACAGGAAUUGCCUUGACUAAUUGAGUAACGUAGGAGUUCCAGGACACAGAGUAACUCCAAUGGCGUCAGAGGGCUCACCUCCUGGGAGAGCUUCGAGUCUCCUGCAGUCACAGAGGCCAAGUUCCUCAGCUCCAAGCAACAUCAUGCCUCAACCCAUACUUGAGUGAAAAUUCAGGGAGGUAUAUGGACAAUCAGAAGUGCAGAUGGUUUAACCAGGAUAUAAUCUGGAUAAGUUUGACCAGCUGAGGAUAAUUGAAUUUAAGGAAAUGGAAAAUAUAACAUCACUCUAUUCUACAAUAAAUCGAGUAAUGAAGACUUAGAAGCCAUUUGGACCAGAAGUAGGUUUGCUUCACCUGGCGAAAGCAAAUUUGUCACAGUGAUAUCCUGAGCUGCUAAAUACACUAAUAGAGAAGCUGAUCAUACAGUAUUUCAUUUUGUAAAUGUAUCAAAUAGCUCUCUUUAAUAUAUACCAAGUCCAUUCAUUAAACAAUCAUCACUGUAAAAAAAUCGAUGUUUGAAAUAGUGAUAACAAA
Molecule: long non-coding RNA, 826 nt
Filed under: Equus caballus (horse)
Lineage: Eukaryota; Metazoa; Chordata; Mammalia; Perissodactyla; Equidae
Description: lncRNA (ENSECAG00000041738.2)
Source: RNAcentral